Molecule: ribosomal RNA, 253 nt
Filed under: uncultured prokaryote
Description: partial 16S ribosomal RNA
Rfam family: Bacterial small subunit ribosomal RNA
Source: RNAcentral
UACAGAGGGUGCAAGCGUUAAUCGGAAUUACUGGGCGUAAAGCGCGCGUAGGUGGUUUGUUAAGUUGGAUGUGAAAGCCCCGGGCUCAACCUGGGAACUGCAUUCAAAACUGACAAGCUAGAGUAUGGUAGAGGGUGGUGGAAUUUCCUGUGUAGCGGUGAAAUGCGUAGAUAUCGUAAGGAAGACCAGUGGCGAAGGCGAGUCUCUGGACAGUUACUGACGCUGAGGCACGAAGGCCAGGGGAGCAAACGGG